This 28890-nucleotide long non-coding RNA is filed under the name Physcomitrium patens. RNAcentral describes it as "long non-coding RNA (PPAT_LNC001731)". The record is from RNAcentral. Lineage: Eukaryota; Viridiplantae; Streptophyta; Bryopsida; Funariales; Funariaceae.
UUGUUGUUGUUGUUGUUGUUUUUUUUUUUUUUUUUUUUUUUUUUUUUUUUUUUUUAUUUCAAAUAGAUUUUAUAUAUUGCAUAAAAUGUGCUAUUUUGGUGAAGCAAUCUAUGAUUACAAAUAUAGACUCAUAUGAACCUGAAAUUAGAAGAUUCAUGAUAAAAUACAUAAAAAUAGAAGACCAUGGUUGUUUUGGAAUUGAUAACAGUUGAAGAAGUCUAUAAGACCAAUGGUGAGAAGUUUUGGAUCUUGAAUAUAUAUUGCAUGAUUAUAUGAAGUCUUUGACUGCCUUCGACAUUUGAGGCCAGCAAAAAUCUUUGGAUAUAAGCUCUAAAGUCUUAUUGUAUCAAAAAUAUUGGAUUGUUAGAAAAUCAUGACGAGCUCGAAGGACAAGUAAUCGUGCCUUGCCUUUUGGAAUACAUAGGUGAUCUUUGAAAUAUAAUAGGUUGUUCUUGAAUUCAAACUUUGCAGUAUUAUAGGAUUUAGAGGAAGUAUUCUUGAUAUCAUAAACAAGAGGAUCAGAGGACAUACUUUAUUGAAUUUGCUUGAGAAAGGUUGAAUUAAUAGUCAAUGUUGAUUUUAUUGCUUAAAGAUAAAAAUACUUGAGCUUCAAGAUAAUCAUUCUUUAUUAAUCAAAAGAUGCAUCUCCUUCUUUUGGUACAAGAUAAAAACGUGUAGAAAGGAUGUCUGAUAGACCUUAUUAUUUUUUAGGUGGAUAAGUGAUCUUGAAAUUGAAUCUAGAUAAAGACAUGCUCCAACGGGCUUGAAUACAAUUCAAAAUAGGUGCUGAUAUGAAGUACUUGAGGUUCUUAUGAUCCAUAUACAUGGUUAGUAGACUUGAGGCGCCUUCUAGAUAAUGAGGCUAUUCUUGAAAUGAAUCCAUGAUUGCAAAGAGCUUUUUGUCAUAGAUCUCAUAAUUAAUCUUGGCUAUUAAAAAUUUCUUGAAAUAGAAAGUUAUUAGGUAGAAUUUGUCAUCUAUUCAUAUUUGUGACAAUAGAAUAUACAGCAAAGUCUAACGCAUUUGUUUCCAUAAAAAAUGCCUUAAAAAAGUUGACAUAAUAUAAGUUUGGUGCAAUAAUAAACUCCUUCUUUAUAGUAUUAAAUGAUGCUUCUGUUUCAUUAUUCCAUUGAAAUUUGUAUUUAUAAGUCAAACGUAUAAGUGGAGUUAUAACUUAAGAAAAAUUCUUGAUGAAGAUUUGGUAGUAAUUAACAAAGCUUGAAAAACAUUGCAUAUCUCCUAUUAUUCUUGAAAUCUUCCAAUCUAUGAUAAUUUGAAUCUUUUUGAAAUCUAUUAUAAGACCUUCAUUGGAAAUGAUGUACCCUAAAAAGUCAACUUGAGUAGUGUGGAAUACAUACUUUUUCAACUUGGCAUAUAAUCUUGCAUCUCUAAGUUUCUGUAAUGCGCGACAAAUAUGAAGUUCAUAUUCUUAAGUAUUCUUAGAGUAGAUUAGAAUGUCGUAUAAAUAGUAAAUGAUAAAAUUAUUGAAAAACUCAUGAAAAACAUCAUUCAUAAGAUGUUGAAAAGUAGCCAGUGCAUUUGUGAGUCCAAAAGGCAUGACAUUAUACUCAAAAUAUCCAUACCUAGUUCACAAAGUAGUCUUCUAUUGAUCUCCUUCUUUGAUACAAACUAAGUUGUAUACUCAUUGUAGAUCUAUUUUGGUAUAGAUCUUUGCUUGAUUGAAUUGGUCAAGAAGUCCUGAAAUCAAAGGCAAAGGAUACCUAUUUUUUAUGGAGAUCUUAUUGAGUCUUCAAUAAUCUACAUAUUUAUAGAGAUUCAUCUUUCUCCUUCAAAAAUAAGAUAGGAGCCCUUAAUAGAAAUUUAGAAUGGUGUAUGAAGUUUUUUGGCAAAUUUUUAUGAAUAUAUUCCUUUAAUGGAGCUUACUCAUUCUGUGAUAAGCUAUAGAUUGGUCCAAAUAGUAGUUGAGUUUUUUCUUGCAAAUCAAUUGAACAAUCAUAAGGUCAAUGCUUUGAAAGAAUAUCUACAUUCUUCUUUUAAAAAAUGUCUUAGAAUUCUUGAUAUUGGCUAGAAAUACUACUUGAUGUUUUUUCACCAUUAAAAAUUGACGUAGUAUAUAUAACAAAAGAUGAUCCUUCUUUUGUAGCAUACAUGAAAGCUCUCGCACUUAUCAGUAAAAAUUUGGAUAUAUUCGACUUAUAUACUUCUACUUCAUUAACUCAAUCUUGGAUUAUACUACCAAAAAAAUUAAGGUUACAAGAAAUCUAAUGUAUUUGAGAGUUAUAUUUUUUUAGCCACGACAAUCCUAAAAUAAUCAGAUUUGAUGGAGAUCUUAUUAUAUUAAAUACAACUGCACUGUUAUGAUCUUUAAUUGCUACAUCUAAAGAAAUAGUCUUAUGGAUAAUAUUUCCAAAAGUCUACAAAUGACCAUCUAUGAUUUCUACAUGUAUGGAUUUAGUUUUCUUCACUAAAAGUAUUUUUUGAUUUUUGACAAAAUCUAGGUCUAUAAAACAAGUUGAGGCUCUUGAAGCUAAUAAGACAAAGACUUUGUGAUUUUUAGGUCCUAAAAAUACAUCUAUUAUAAAAUAGGGUGAGGGAUCUAAAGAGAGAAUAUGACCUUUAUUAGGUGUUGCAUAUGAUUCCAACUGCAUUGUUCUUAUUGUAGCUGGAGAAACUUAUUUUUUGACAAAUUAUCUUCUUUGGUAAUUGUACUUCUCAUUUUGUAAUUGCAUUGCUUCUUUGGACAAUAUUGAGUAGUGUGCUUAGCUUCUCCAUAAUAUAAAUACAAAUCCUUUUGGCGAUGUUAAGUCUUUUCCUACUCCAUGAGAGAUUUAAAAUGUAUUGUAUUAAAUUGCAUUGAUUCUGGCCUUGAUGAAUAUGUUUAGGAAAACUUGGGAACUACUGCCAUUACUUGACUUAUUCUUUUCCAAUCAAAUCUUUGUUCUUAAUGCCUUUCAAAUAAUUGAUUGUCACAUGUAAUGGCUUGAGUAAUAAAUUAUUUCAAAGAUUUUGUUUUUGGUAUUAUUAAUAAUAAAUCUUUGAUGCUAUCCUUGAACCUAUAUCAAAAUUGAUUGAUAAGUGCUUUAUCAUUCCAAUCCAUAUUGCAAGCAAGAUUUUGGAAUUUAGUAGUAUAUAUGGUGAUUAAUUGUAAUCCUUCUCGUAAAGAUAAGAGUUUGGUUAUUAUUACUCAUUCUCAAUUAUUUCUUCAAACGUGAUUGUAAACACUUUUAAAAAUGAAUUUAAAUCAUAAAGAAUUUAUGAAUCUUUUUCUAUUAAAGGUACAAACUAAAAAAGAGCACUUCUAAAUAGAAAUGUGAUUAUGAAGUCGACUUGAGUAAAUCCAUCUGCGUAUUGAAAAAAGUGUAACCUUAAGUAGAGCUUAAUUUGUUGUAAAAAACCUCAAAAUUUUGAUCUUGUUCCAUUAAACUUUUGGGGCAUACUAAUUCUUAUCUCUCUUGAUUUUGUAGAAGUAAGAUCUCUUGAAUUUGGUUGUAAGGCUAAUCAACUUGUUUCUUUCAACUGCACAACUUUUUGAUAUAGACUCUAGACUUCUUCCAUAGAUAUAAAAGUAGUGCUCCUAUGAUUGACAUUGGUGUUGUGUGAAAUUUCUGCCCUGAGAGUGUUGACAAGCUUAAAAAGAUCCGCAAUAGUUGCAAAUCUAUUCUCAUUUUUGCUAAGAGUAGCAUCCAUAAUCUUUCCUUCUAUAGAUAAUUCAAACAAAUCUAAAAAGUUAAAUUAGAGGAGGGUAAUCCAUAACUUCUAAUAAAAAUUUCCACAAAGAGAGGUAAUUGUCUCCUUUUAACAAAAAGAUCAAUUUAAAAAAAUAAGAUCUUUUGUUUAAAGAUGAGUAGUUUGUAAUCUUCAAAAUAAAAUAAUAGAAGUGAAAUAAUCUACUCACUUCUAAAAUAAGUCAAAAAUAAUAUGUUAGUAUUCUUAUCAAACUGUUAAGGAUAUGAAUCUCAAAGAAAGAAAAUCCUAAACACACUCUUGUAUCACUUAAAAGAACUAAAAAGUCAUUCAAAGAUCAUAUAAUAUUGAAAUAGAAUGACAAUUUCCAAAACAAGAAGAUUAGAAAGACUUAGAAUAAGAAUAAAGACUAGAAAGGUGUUGAUAAGAAUGAAGGUUUCACUAUUGCCUCCAUAUAUACUCUCUAACUAGAAGCUACAUGGCAAUAUUCUAUAAAACCUCCAAUAUAUGUUGGCUUUGCUAGCCACAUGUCUUAACUUGUAAGACAAGUUAUCUACGUAUGCACCACAUAAUUAGCUUGUUCUAUAAGCUAUUACAUAGAGUUAACUUAUUCUACAAGCUACCAAUAUGUGAUUAACUUAUUAGCUAAGUUUUUAUCCUAAAAAUACAUCUAAAGUGAAAACUACAUCUAUAAAGCUUCUAAGAAGUUUUUUUAGAAGACUUUAUGAAAUUAAUCUAUAUUUAUAUAUACUUCUAUCUAAUUAUAUAAGUAACUAUAAGGAUAAAUAUUUAUGUCUAUGAUAACUUGGCAACAAUUCAAAACACAUGCUUAUAUAAAAUAUUCAAGAUUAUUGUAGUUGAUAUAAAAAAUGAUUGGAUAAGAAGAACCUUCUAGAUAAUAGCAUCAUUCUUAAAACGAAUCCACAAUUACAAGAAGUUCUUUAUUGUGAAUCUUGUAGUUGAUCUCGAUUAUUGAAAAAUUUCUUGAAUGAAAAGCUAUUAGAUGAAUUUUAUCAUUUAUUCCUAUUUAUAAUAAUAUGGCACCCAAAUCAAAGUUCAAUGUAUCUGUUUCAUAAAAAAUGGUUUAAAAAAGUCAAUGUAGUAGAAGAUUAGUGCAAAUAUAAAGGUUGUCUUCAAAGCUUCAAAUGUUGUUUAUAUUUCUUGAUUCUAUUGAAUUUUUUCUUUACAAGUCAAAUGUGUAAGUAGAGCUACAACUUGAAAAAAAUUCUUCAUAAAGAUCUAUUAGUAGUUGGCAAAUCCCAAAAAAUAUUAGACAUCUCUUUUUAUUUUUGAGAUCUUCCAAUCCAUAAUAAUUUGAACUUUUUUAGGAUCCAUCACAAGUCCAUCAUUUGAAAUGAUGUAUUCUAAGCAGUCAACCUGAGUAGUGUGGAAUAUAUACUCUUAUAUCUUGGCAUAGAGUCUUACAUUUCUUAGUUUUUGUAAUACACAACAAACAUGAAGUUUAUAUUCUUCUGUAUUCUUAGAAUAUAUUAAGAUGUCAUUUAGGUAACAUACAAAAAAGUCAUCUAAAAACUCUUAAAAAAUAUUGGAUGUUGAAAAGUUGCUAGUACAUUUAUAAGUCCAAAAGGUAUGACAUUUUAUUCAAAAUGUCCAUAUGUUAGGGACAUAGUGCUUAGAACCUUCUAGAGACAAGUUUCUAGAACCUUCUAGAGAUAAGUUUCUAGAACCUUCUAAAAACAAGCUUCUAGAACCUUCUAGAAGCAAGUCUCUGAAACCUUCUAGAAGCUUCUUAGUUGAUAGAAGAUGUUAGGGACAUAGUCCUUAGAACCUUCUAGAUAUAAGUUUCUAGAACCUUCUAGAUAUAAGUUUCUAGAACCUUCUAGAAGUAAGUCUCUGGAACCUUCUAGAAGCUUUCUAGUUAGUAGAAGUUACUUGAGAAGCUUCCUAAAUAGGAGUAUAUAUUGGAAUCGAGGCUGAAGAGUUCUUCAGUCUCGACAACACCUCUCUUGGAGCUCUAGCUCACCUCUCUGGUGUUGUUCUUGUAUUCAUCUGAUUAAUGUAGUUCUUGCCAGUUCUUCUGGAACUUCUUCGUAGAUAUCAAGUUUGUAUUCUAUGUCCGUGACAGUUUGUCGAGACUUCACUCACCUCAGAUAUCAAAGCUAGUUUCUUCUUUGUUAGAGUGUGGAUUAUCCCUCUAUUUGGAAGUGUACUAGCACUUUAGAGGUUGCGGAUUAUCCUCCUCUAAACUGAUACUUCUUUUGUUAUAAUAUUGGAGUCUUAUUCUUCUUGGAGAGAGUGGAUUACCCCUUUUCUUGAAGCUCUUAAGGCAUUUGUCACGGACACAAAAUACAGACUUGAAAUCUAACAAGAAGUUCAAGAAGAAGUGGCAGAACUAGAUUAAACAGAUGAGUACAAGAACAACACCAGAAAGGUGAGCUAGAACUCCAAGAGAUGUGUUGUCGAGACUGAAGAACUCUUCAGUCUCGAUUCCUAUAUAUACUCCUACUUAAGAAGCUUCUCGAGCUACUUCUAUUAACUAGGAAGCUUCUAGAAGGUUCCAGAGGCUUUCUUUCUAGAAGGUUCUAGAAACUUCUCGAGCUACUUCUAUUAACUAGGAAGCUUCUAGAAAGUUCCAGGGGAUUCCUUUCUAGAAGCUUCUAGAAACUUCUCUUCUAGAAGGUUCCAGAGACUUCCUUUCUAGAAGCUUCUAGAAACUUCUCUCUAAAAGGUUCCAGAGGCUUCUCUUCUAGAAGGUUCCAGAGGCUUAUUUUUUAAAAGGUUCUAGAAACUUCUCUCUAGAAAGUUCUAAGGAAUAUGUCCCUAACAGCAUUUUAGAGGUUGCGGAGUACCCUCCUCUAAACCAAUAUUGUCUUCUUGUAGAGUCAUUUUUGUCCUUCUCUUAGAAUGGUCGGGGGCCAAGACAUUAGUAUGACAAAAAGUUCAGAGUCCAAGUUAGAUGCUAUCAUAAAUGCCCUGGCUACGUUAUCGCAAAGAACUGCAGAGAUUGAAGGAGUCAUGGCAAGGCUUCAUAAUGAUGGAGCAUCUGGAAUGGCACAAUCUAGGUUGUACUAGCUUCAAACUUCUACACUUGGAGAAGCAACUUUACCUCAGGUUCGAUAAGCACCGCUGUUUUUACAACAUAAAGAAUCUCGAGAUAGCCUUCCGGACAAGUUCGAUGGUACGUAUUCCAAGUUUCGAGGAUUUGUCAACCAAAUCACAUUAAUAACAGCUUUACAGCCCGAACACUAUCUAACGGAGGAGUCACGUGUUGGGCUUAUUGGAACCUUACUUAUAGGACAAGCUCUAUCAUGGUUUGCUCCUUGGUUUGAGAAACGAUCGUCCAUACUAAAUAACUUUGAAACCUUUUUGGAGGCAUUUGCGGAAGCAUUUGGUGAACACAACAAGGUUCGAUGGGCUACAACAAAGAUCCGGUCACUACGACAAGGGAUGCGUUCUACAUCAGUCUAUGCAUCGGACUUUAGGGCAUGUUUAUUCAGGAAAACGAGGAUGCCGAGCCACAAUAGGAACCGUGCGACUGGACAGUGAAAUAUCACAACAACAACCAGAUUCCUUUCUUUCCGCUCAAUCUGUCCUUUGUUUUACAAUCCCUUUGCUUAUUGGCCCUCAAAAACUGAGAACCUUAGCAUUAUUAGAUUCACGAGCAUCUGCUUGUUUCUUAGACAAAGAAUUUGUAAAGCGUCAUAAGAUCCUUUUAGUACAAAAAUCCCAACCUGUUCACGUUGACGUCAUAGAUGGACGACCUUUAUUGUCUGGUAGUGUCUCCCAUGAAGCAAAACCUAUAGAAGUGACGUUUAAGGACCAUAGUAGUCAUAUUAUUUUCAAUAUUAUUAGAAUCCCAUCAAAUACUGUUAUUCUUGGUCUUUCCUGGUUGGAAAAAUAUAACCCAUCCAUAGAUUGGAAGUUGCAGAAGAUGACCUUUCCCACAAAACCACCCAAGAGCAAGCCUAGUAAAAAAUCCCGAAUAGAGAAAUCCUUAUUUAUUGGAGCAAGAGCGUUUAUAAGAUUGUCUAAGGGAGGCACACCGUUUGUCAUUUAUGCUGCUCCAACUACUGGGGAGAAGAUCUCGACAACAAGUAUACCGGAGCAAUAUAAGGAUUUUAAAGACGUGUUUCAAAAGAAAAAUGCUGACAUGCUACCGGAACACAAAUCAUAUGAUUGCACCAUAGACUUACAAGAAAGAGCACAACCGCCUUUUGGUCCAAUCUACAAUCUAUCGGAGAUGGAGUUGGUAGAGUUGCGGAAGUACAUCGACGAGAAUCUAGCCAAGAACUUCAUCUGUCAUUCAAAAUCGUCAACUAGAGCACCCAUCUUAUUUGUGAAGAAGAAAGAUGGCUCGUUGCGAAUGUGCGUGGACUAUCGAGGCCUCAACAAGAUAACAAAGAAGAAUCGUUACCUGUUACCCUUGAUUUCUGGUCUCUUAGAACAACUUGGACGUGCAAGGAUCUUUAUAAAAAUUGAUCUAAGGGGAGCUUACAACCUCGUACGAAUCAAGGAAGGAGAUGAGUGGAAGACAGCAUUCCGUACAAGGUAUGGCCAUUUUGAAUAUAAUGUCAUGCUCUUUGGCCUUACCAAUGCUCCAGCGGUCUUUCAACAUAUGAUGAAUGACAUUUUUCGAGAGUACAUUAAAGAUUUUGUUAUCAUCUAUUUGAAUGAUAUUUUGAUAUUCUCCAAAAAUGAGGAAGAGCAUAAAAAACACGUUCGUUUGGUAUUGGAGAAACUACGCAAGCGAGGACUAUAUGCCAAGUUGGAGAAGUGUUUAUUUCACCAAAUAGAGAUGGAGUUUCUGGGGUUCAUUGCAACUACGGAAGGCUUGAAGAUGGACCCAAGAAGAUGGAAGCAAUCGUGUCCUGGGAGGUUCCGAAGACGGUUAGAGACGUACAAUGCUUUCUUAGUUAUGCCAACUUCUAUCGGAUCUUUAUCAAGAAUUACUCUCAAGUUGUUGCUCCUCUCACUCGGUUGACAUGCAAGGAUAAGCUGGAAUGGGGACCUCUAGCAGAGAAGGCGUUUCAAAACCUGAAGACAGCAUUUACUACGACUCCAAUCUUGGUACAUCGAGACUUUACAAAGGCCUUUUAUUUAGAAACUGAUGCUUCGGAUUUUGCUUUGGGAGCUGUACUUUCACAAAUGGGAGAAGACAAGAAGCUCCAUCUGGUUGCAUUCUAUUCUCGAAAGUUCUUUGCUGCUGAAAUCAAUUAUGAGAUCUAUGAUAAGGAACUUCUUGCUAUAGUGGAUUCUUUCUAAGAAUGGCGUCACUUUCUUGAAGGAGCUGCACAUCCAGUGACCGUAUACACAGAUCACAAGAAUUUGGAGUAUUUCAUGUCGGCUCGAGUUCUAAAUCGACGUCAAGCUCGAUGGAGUAUGUUGCUAUCUAGGUUCGAUUUUAUUAUCACUUAUCGACCUGGAAAGCAGCAAGGACUAUCUGAUGCCUUAUCGAGGAGAUCAUAUCUUGUACCAAAGGCUAGAGAAGGAGCAUUUGAUCAACAAUGUAUGACAUUGUUGAAGCCAGAGCAAUUUCAGCUUUGCGCUACUAUUAUGCCAAUUGAUGCUGACUUCCUGAAUCAUGUACGUGCCGUAACCAUUGAAGAUUCAGUAGCCAUUGAUAUUAAGCAGCGUGCCAAUGACGACAAGUUUAAGGUGGAGGGAGAUCUUUUAUAUUUUGAAGAGCAGUUAUAUAUCCCAAAGGGACCAGCACGACUCCGAGUUCUUCAAUCUUGCCACGAUUUUCCAGCUCCGGGAAAUUUUGGAUUCAACAAGACCUUGGAGCUUAUUUCUCGAGAUUUUUGGUGGCCCCAAAUGUGAAAGGAUGUGAAAGAUUUUGUCCUCUCCUACAACAUUUGUUCAAGAUCCAAGAAUCCUCGACAUCGCCCUUAUGGACUCCUACAGCCAUUGCCAAUUCCACAUCGACCAUGGUCUUCAAUUUCCAUGGACUUCAUCACGGACCUGCCAUCAUCGAACUCAUUUGACAGCAUCUUUGUCGUGGUAGAUCAGCUUACAAAAAUGGCGCACUUUGUCCCUUGCAAGAAGACAUCGUUCAGUGAAGUCACAGCAAGGUUCUUUCUCGAUAAUGUGUAUCGAUAUCAUAGACUACCAGAUGAUAUCGUAUCAGAUCGAGGAACCCAAUUCGUAUCAAAGUUUUGGAGAUCUCUCUUUGAGAUAUUGAAGGUGGAUAUCAAGCUUUCUUCAGCUUUUCAUCUUCAAACUGAUGGUCAAACGGAACGAAUGAACCAAGUCUUGGAACAAUACUUACGAUGCACCAUCAACUAUCAGCAAGACGAUUGGAUCACAUAUCUGUCGCUAGUCGAGUUUACAUAUAACAACAUCCUCCAUGCGUCGACUCAAUAUACACCAUUCUUUUCCAACUAUGGGUAUCAUCCAAAGCUUGAUUUAUUCAGUCCAUCAAUAAAUAACAAUCUAGGAGCUGAAGGAUUUGUGAAACAACUAUCAGAGCUUCAAAAUACGUUGAAGCUUCAAUUACAAUCCGCUCAAAAAUCCUACAAGGCGUUUGCAGAUAGAUUUCAAAAUCAAGCACCUACUUUCAAAAUUGGAGAUAAAACAUGGCUUCUUCGAUGGAAUAUCAAGACCAAGCGACCAUGUGAUAAGUUGGACUAUCGAAGAUUGGGACCAUUUAUCAUCCAAAAGCAAAUCAAUCCAGUGGCGUACUGUCUGGAAUUACCAGCUUCUAUGAAGGUACAUCCAGUCUUUCAUGUUUCUUUGUUGGAGCCUUAUCGAGAGUCAUCUUUUCCUGGAAGAGUGCAAUGUCCACCACCUAGUAUUGAGAUCGAGAACCAUGACGAAUACGAGGUUGAAAAGGUACUGGAUUCUCGGUGAAGGUAGGGCAAGUUGGAAUAUCUUGUUCAUUGGUGCGGCUACGACAUUAAUGAGCGAACAAGGGAGCCAGCUGAAAAUCUCACCAAUGCGCCGCAAAAGAUACAAGAGUUUCAUCAACAACAUCUUCAUAAACCUAAGCCGAUUCGACAAUAGCUUCUUUCUAAAGCUUGCUCACCCAAGAAUAUAAGAAAGGGGGAGAGCACCACCAAAAUUCGUAGUUAAUGUAGUUAUUUUUUCCAAGAUAAAAUAGAAUUUUUUCAGUAGCCAUAGUUUGGUCUUCUGAUAUGGAUAGCCAAGAGAUAGAUACUAUGCCAGUCAGAUUAUUUCAACCAACUAGUUCACGAAGGCGACCCCGAGAUGAAGAACCACCUGCACCACGACGACGACGGAGGAUACCAAGUAACCGAUCACUGGUGAUUGUAUUUGAGUCCCAGCCUGCUUACGAUGGUCAACGAGAAGGCAUAUUUGUAAGACAAUUUCACAAUGAAGACAUGGAAGUUCAUGCUUGGUCAGAAGUUGAAGGAGUGGGCCACUAUCGUUGGCUUCAAGGGUGGAUGAACCACUUACCUCGUGAACAACAGUUGGAGUUCAUAGCAGACGUUAUGCGACAGAUCUUCAUUUUCUUGUGUUGGUACUGAUUGACAACAACAUUGCUUCUCAAAGACCUCGAAGCUAAAAGAGAGGAUGAUGUUAGGGACAUAGUCUUUAGAACCUUCUAGAGACAAGUUUCUAGAACCUUCUAGAGACAAGCUUCUAGAACCUUCUAGAAGCAAGUCUUUGGAACCUUCUAGAAGCUUCUUAGUUGGUAGAAGAUGUUAGGGACAUAGUCCUUAGAACCUUCUAGAGAUAAGUUUCUAGAACUUUCUAGAAGCAAGUCUCUGGAACCUUCUAGAAGCUUCUUAGUUGGUAGAAGAUGUUAGGGACAUAGUCCUUAGAACCUUCUAGAGAUAAGUUUCUAGAACCUUCUAGAAGCAAGUCUCUGGAACCUUCUAAAAGCUUCCUAGUUGGUAGAAGUUACUUGAGAAGCUUCCUAAAUAGGAGUAUAUAUUGGAAUUGAGGCUGAAGAGUUCUUCAGUCUCGACAACACCUCUCUUGGAGCUCUAGCUCACCUCUCUGGUGUUGUUCUUGUAUUCAUCUGAUUAAUCUAGUUCUUGCCAGUUCUUCUUGAACUUCUUCGUAGAUAUCAAGUCUAUAUUCUGUGUCUGUGACACCAUACUUUAUUCAAAAUAUAAUCUUCUAUUCAUUUCUUUCUUUGAUGUGUAUCAGAUUGUAUGCUCUUUAUAGUCUAUUUUUAUAUAGAUCUUAGCUUGAUUCAAUUCAUCAAAAAUUCUAGAUAUUAAAGGUAGCGGGUACCUAUUCUUCAUAGUGAUUUUGUUGAAUCCUCAAUAAUUGACACAUAUCCGUAAUAAUUCAUCUUUUUUCUUUACAAAUAAAAUUAGAACUCAUAUUAGAGAUUUGGAAAGACAUAUGAAGUUCUUGGCGAAAUUUUUUUCAAUAUACUCCUUGAAUUCAACCAACUCAUUUUGUAAUAAACUGUAAAUUAGUCCAAAUGGCGGUUGAGCUCUUUCUUAAAGAGCAAUUAAGCAGUCAUAGGGAUAAUGUUCUUAUAGAAUAUUUAUAUUUUUUUUUCUCAAAUAUAUCUUAAAAAUCUUAAUAUUGGAUUGAAAUGCCACUUAAAGUCUUUUUAUUAUUAGAAAUAAGUGCAACAUAAAUGACACAAGGUAAUCCUUCUUUUGCAGAAUACAAAAAAGCUUUGCACCUAUAAAUACAUGUUUAAUUGCACUAGACUUAUGAAUUUCUACUUAAUCAACUAUAUUCUUAGUUAUACUUUUAAAAAAUCAAGACUACAAGAAAUCCAAUCUAUUUUUGAAUUAUAUUUUUUUAACUAUGAUAAAUCUAAAAUGAUUGGAUUAAAGGAAGAUCUAAUGAUAUUAAAUAUUACAAAGCUAUUAUAACUAUUAUUUGUUACUUUUAUAGAAAGGAUUUCAUGAAUAAUAUUUCUUAGAGACAAUGGAUGACCAUCUAUGAUUUCUACGUAAAUAUGUUUAGUUUUCUUUACUAAAUGUAUGCUAUGUCUUUUAGCAAAUUCUUCAUUUAACGAACACGCUAAGAUUCUUGAAUUUAACAAGACAAAGGCUUUGUGAUGUUUAGGUCCUAAAAUAAUAUUUAUUGUAAAACAAAGAGAGGAUUUUGAAGAGAGAAUAGAACCUUCACAAGAUAUUGAACAAGGUUCCAACCUCACAAUCUCUAUUGUAACUGGACAAACUUAUUUUUUGACAUACUAUCUUCUUUAAUAGCCAUAUUAUUUAUUUUGUGGUUAUGUUGCUUCUUUAGAUAAUGUUGAGGAAUGAACUUAGCUUUUCUACAAUAUAAGCAUAAUUCUUUCUAACAACAAAGAUUUUUUUUUUUGUUUAGUAAGAGGUUUGAAAUGUACCACAUCAAUUUGCAUAUCUUCUACUUUUGAAUGUAUGUAUUGAGAAGAUAUUAGUAUUGUCAUUAAAUAAUAGUAGCAUUGAGGUGUACUUGUGCAACUUUCAAAUCAAAAUUCAAAAAGUCAAUUGUCACACCUCAUAAUAAAGUCAAUUGCUUGACUCAAUAUUUGAGGAUCAAAUAAGUUGAACAUCAAUUUUUUUCACUUCAUAUUGGAAUUCAUAGAAAAAUUAAUUAAUAAAUGCAACAUCAUUCCACUUGAUAUUAAUUAUAAGUUGUCAAAAUUGUGAAGCAUAUAACAUUAUCGAUCAAUUGCUUUGUCACAAAAUACAAAUCUUAUUAGUUAUAACACAAAUUACAUCAUGUUCUCUAUACAUGGAUCAAAACUUUAUCAAAAAAAAGCCUAUAGAUUAUCUAAUAUUGAAUCUCAUCGUUCAAAAAAAGAUGAUAAAUCAUAAUAAUGCUAAAAAAUAAUAUACAAAUAAAUCUAAUUUGUAAUCUUAGAGCUGGAUAGCUUUAAAAUUGAAGUUCAAUCACAAGUUGUACUUGAUUGAUAAAUCUUUAAAAGUUAGAACUUAUGCCAUCAAACUUCUUGAGCAAUACAAUCCUUGGUUUUUUAACACUAGUAGGAUGUUCUACCAAAGGAAAAGGAAUAUGAUUUGGUGCAGAUGUUGAAGCAGCUUCAAUCAUCACUAUAUCUUUGCUUCUUGCCAUUCUUAUUAUUCCUUGUGGUCGUAAAUUGAAUUGAUACAUUGCAAGCAUUAACUCCCUCAAUUGCUCUUAUAUUUGUGCCAUUGCACUCUUCAUUUCAAAAAGCUCUAUCAUGAUAAUUUUUAAAAAAGGGAAGAUGCCUAAUAUUGCUCAAGACAAAUAAAAGAGAAGAUUUAAAAACAAAGAAAAAAUACUAAAGACAAUAUCAGUUUGGGAGAGGGUAAUCUACAACUCCUAAUAUACUUAAGUCUUAUGAAGAAAAAGAAGUAAUCUACUCUUAAUCAAGAAAAGCUCUGAUAUUGUAAGAGUACUCUUGUCAAUUUGUUAAGGAUAAGAACUUGAUGAAAGCAAAUAAACAAGUGAGACUCUUUCAAAGAAAUAUGACAAAAUAUAAAUAGAGAAUUAUGUAUAUUAAAAAGAAAACUAGAAUGGCUAUUGCUAAAAGACAAGGAAACUAAAGACUCUUGAAACUAGACUAAAAACAAGAAAAGAAUGUACAAAAAUAAAGAAGGCAUCACUCUUGCCUUUAUAUAUACUAUCUAUUUAGGAUCUAUAUGGCAAAAUUUUAUAAGACAUCUAAAAAUAUGAUGACUUUACAUGACACAUAUCUUAACUUACAAGGCAAAUUUUUUAUAUAGACGCCACAUAGUUAACUUGUUCUCUAAACUACUAACACAUGUGGCAUGUAGUUAGCUUGUUGAUCAAGUUUUUAACCUAUCAAUUAACUAUAAAUACAUGUAAAGUCAAAUUAGCGACUGCAAAGCUUUUAGGAAGCUUUUCUAUGAGGUAUUAUGAAAUCAAUCUACUUUUACCUAAUUUCAUCUAUUCAUAUUAUCUAGAUAAAAAUUACAAUAUAUAUAUAUAUAUAUAUAUAUAUAUAUAUAUAUAUAUAAUAGUUAGUUGGAUACUAAUAAGGCUGAAAGGUAUAAAAACAACAACCUACAAUAGAUAAAUAUUAAAAUAUAAAAUUUAAAUAAAUCAAAUAAAUAAAGGAGGGUGUCCACUUAUUAAUUUUGUUAGAUGGAUACCAAUUAUUAUUAUUAUUAUUUAUUUGGAUUAAUUAACUAUUAAGUUUCUAAUUUUUUUAUAUUGUAGACACAACUAUUACAAGUUUUUUAAUAUACCACUUAAUACAAAAAAAUUAUCUACCUAAUGAUUUUUUAUUUUAAAUGUAUAAUAUGCAUCUAUUAGAAUUAAAAUCAAAUGUUACAUUAGUAUGUCAAAACUACAACUUUAAAACCUUUGCUAACAAGCACAUAUUAAUAUUUAUAAAAUUAUACUUUAAUGCUUAUCAAAUGCACUACUAAAUAUUCAAUAAUUUAUUUAUUUAUUGUUACACUUAUUACUUGAAUGAUUCUUUUUUUUAUAAAUAUAUAUAUAUAUAUAUAUAUAUAUAUAUAUAUAUAUAUACAUAAUAUUUCAUCAUUUUUCUUAUUAAUACAUAUGUAGCUCUAACUAAUAUAAGAAUGUAUUUAUCUUUUGUUUUUGUAAUGUAAUAUAUACAUGCAAAACAUACAUGCAUAAAAAAACAUAAAUAACAGAGUUAGAAAUAUGUCAUCUAAUAUUUUGAUAAUAUUUCAUAUUAUUUCAUAACUUUGUUUUACAUAACAUAUCUAUUGAAGUUUUUAUUUUGAAUAAAUACUAAAAGAUGUCCAAGUAAGCUAAAGAUUACAUAUGGGAUCAAUGUACUAACUUAGUUGGUAUUUUUGUUAAAACUAUAAACUCAACAAUCUAAUGUUUAUAUAUUUUUGUUACAGCUAACCCAGUUGUAUAAUAUUUCAAUAUUUGGGGUUUUAAAUAUACAACGAAAUAUUCAUGUACAAUAUGUACUUUUUUAUGUUAUAACUAAAUAAGCAAUGGUCUACAUAUGUAAUUUCAACAUGCAGUAAAGUCCGCAUUUAUGAAUUAAUAAAAUCGGAGUACUACAACAAGCUAUCGUAUAUUCAACCUGUUGAGAGCAUUAAAUAUAGCCAGUGCUCUCUAUAAUAUUUACUAUAAUCUACAAUAAAUACUAUAGCUAUAUUAUUUGGAAUGUAGUCGAGAAAAAUUGUUUAUCCUCUCUCAUUCUCUUCUUGUAUAUGAGACACAAUUAGAUCAAUAGACUUUUGUGUAAAGUUCUCUUUCCUUAGAAACUCUCUUGUAUGUGUGUGUAUUACUUACUACUACUCUUAAGUCUUUCUAAAUAUUCUCAACACGUUAUCAGUAUAACUCUCUUCUAUACACUAUCAUAAUUUUUUUCUUUGCUCUAAUCUUGACUCUUCAAACUUGUUGCUACUCUUGCUCCUUGUAUGAUUUAUAAUCUUGCUACACUUCUUGCUGAUCCUUCACACAUUAGCUACUUGCUUAUAGUACUUGCUCCACUUUAUGCCCUACUUCUUUAGAAUACUUGCUCUAGAUCAACUUCCCUAUUGUACCUUUUGCCUGUUGCCAAAAUUGUAGUCCCUGCUUGCUGCUGACCAUGCCAUUGAUUCUACCACUAAUAUUGUCCUAUCGCCAUUGCUGACCGCCAACUGCCACUGACUCUACCAUUGAUUGCCAUUGUUAUUGCUGCAUUGCCGCUGUUGUUGACUACCAACUAUUAUUCAAUAAUCCCUGACUCUAUCGUUGAUUGCCACUAACUCUUGUUGUCACCCUACUGCCAUCGCUUCGUCACCAUCGACCUCUUGUUGCUGCUGUUUUGCUGCCACAAUUAAUAAUUUUGUUGAAUAAUAAUAAUAAUAAUAAUAAUAAUUAAUUAAUAUUUUUGAUUUUAAGUUCAAUUUUAUCAUUUUAUUUGACUUUAUAUUUUAAAGUACAUUAUACUCAACUUUUCUACUUGAUCUUGUAUUUUUUUUAUAGAUUUAUUUAAAAUGAGUGCUUCAACAUCUUCAACUGCUUCUACUAUGGUUCUAACUAUUACCAGUGCAUCCCAACAUUUUCAAGCUCUUUUAUUUCCACCUUUGAUUGUGCAUAGAAACAAUUAUCUAAUAUGGGCAAAAAUGACAAAAACAAGUUUAUUUGCAGAACAACUCUUUGAUGCCAUUAUGUUUGAAGAAUGUCCUACAAUAAGUAUUUCUAUUCUUCUUGCUAUCUGUUGGAAAGCACUUCUUCUCUUUCAUCAUCAUCUUGUACAUGUAUUAUAAUAUGAAUAUUUAGAAAUGGAAGAUCUUGAAAAACUUUGGAAGAAUCUUAAAUCCAGGUUUGAUCAUCAAAAGAACAUUUUCCUUCCACGUACAUGUUAUAAUUGGACACAUUUAUGUAUCUUGAAUUUUCUAAAUUUAAAUACUUUCAAUAGUAAAAUAUAUAGUAUUAUCUCACAAUAUUGAUUAUGUGGAUAAAGCAUCUCUAAAGAAGAAAUGAUUGAAAAAGUUCUCUCUACAUUUCCUCUUGUAUCUGCUGUGCUUGCACAACAAUAUAGGAAUAUGAAAUUUUAGUCAUUCUGAUCUCAUGUCCUAUUUAUUUCUUGUGGAAAAGCAAAAUAAGCUACGCUUCUACAAUACAGAAGCUUGUCCUAUUGGAACCACAGUUCCAGAAUCUCAUGUACUUAAUAUUUCAAAGUCUAAAAAAAAAAAUUAUAUAAACAUGAAAAACGUGCUCAUAAGCAUCAAGGUAGUGUCACGGCCAUAAUGAUGUAAGCUAAUAAUUACAUAUAGAAAUAGAUAGAAGUAAGUAAAAGUAAGUUAAUUCUAUAAUAUUUAAUAUGGAAGCUUCUAAGAAACUUCUUAGAUGCUGCUUUGACUUCAUAGGUGUCUUUAAUUGACUUUUUGGAUUAGAAACGUGGUCAACAAGUUGGCCAUGUGCCACACAUGUUGUUAGCUUGAAGAUCAAGUUAAUUAUGUAGCCCACACGUAGAAAAACUUGCCUUGUAAGUCAAGGCAUGUACCCUACAAAGUCAACACAUAUUGGAGGUCCUAUAGAACGUCGCCACGUAGCCCCUAGUUAUAGAGUAUAUAUAGAGACAAGAGUGAAGCCUUCUUCACUCUUGUCAACUCCUUUCUUGCUUCCACUCUAGUUUCAAGGGUCUCUAGUUUUCUUGUCUUUUGACAAUAGCCAUUCCAGUUCCUCUUUCAAUAUACAUACUUGUUUAUAUAUAUUUUCUUACCUCUCUUUGAGUGAAGGCUCACUUGUCCGAAUUGAUUUUUCAUCGAGUUCUUAUCCUUGACAGAUUGACAAGGGUACACCUACAAUAUCAGAGCUUUAUCUAAACUUGAUUAAGAGUGGAUUACCCCUUUUUCUUCAUAAGAUAUAAGCGUAUUAGAAGUUGUGGAUUACCCUCUUCUAAACUGAUAUUGUCCUUAGUAUUUUUUUUCUCCGCAAGUCCUCUCUUCUAUUUGUCUUGAGCGAUAUUAAACAUCUUCUCUCUUCUAAGUGUUAUCAUGGCAGAACUUCUUAAAAUGAAGAGUGCAAUGGCACAAAUGUAAGAGCAAUUGACGGAGUUAAUGCUUGCAAUGCAUCAACUCAAUUUACCACCACAAAGAGCAACAAGAUUGGCAGGAAGUAAAGAUAUAGAGAUGGUUGGAGCUGCUUCAACAUCUACACCAAACCAUGUCCUUUCUCCUAUGGUGGAACACCCUUCAAAUGUUAGAGAACCAAGAAUUGCCCUACCCAAGAAGUUUGAUGGCACCAUAUCCAAGUUUUGAAGAUUUAUCAAUCAAGUGCAACUUGUGAUUGAACUUCAACCCCAAAGCUAUCCAAUUCGAGGAUCACAACUUAGAUUCAUUGGUACGUUUCUUUCAGGUUCGGCACUAUCGUGGUUUUCAUCUUUUCUUGAAUGACGAGAUCCAAUAUUGGAUAAUCUAGAGGCUUUUUUGGCGGAGUUUUGAUCCAUGUAUGGAGAAUAUGAUGCAAUUCAUGUUGCAACCAAUAAGAUCUGUAUUUUACGACAAGGCAAUCGAUCAGUAACAUUAUACGCUUCACAAUUUUGACAACUUGCAACUGAUAUCAAGUGGGAUGAUGCUGCACUUAUUAGCCAAUUUCUUUAUGGAUUACAAUAUGAGGUAAAAAAAUUAAUGCUCAACUUACCUGAUCCUCAAACAUUGAGUCAAGCAAUUGACUUUGAUAUGAAGUGCGACAAUCGCCUUUUUGAAUUCCGAUCUGAGAACCGUACAAGUUGACUUCAACGUUACUAUAAUUCAAUGGCAACACCAACACCUCUUCAACACAUACAUUCGGAAGUAGAGGAUAUGCAAAAUGAUGCAGUACGUUUUAAACCUCUUACUGAGCAAGAAAAGACUCGUCAUCGUCAAGAAGGAUUAUGUUUAUAUUAUGGAGAACCAAAGCAAACUGCUCAACAUUGUCCAAAGAAAUGACACAAUCACAAAAUGAGGAGUAUGGCUCUGAAAGAAGACAAUAUGUCAGAAAACGAGUUUAUCGAGCUACAAUAGGGACAGUGCGAUUGGAACCUUGCACAACAUCUAGUAAAGGUCCUAUUCUCUCCUCGGAGCCCUCUCCUUGUUUUACAUUAAAUGUUAUUUUAGGACCUAAAUAUUACAAAGUCUUUGCCUUGUUAGAUUCAGGAGCCUCAACAUGUUUCUUAGAUGAAGAAUUUACUAAAAGACAUAGCAUAUCUUUAGUAAAGAAAACUAAACCUGUUCAUAUAGAAGUCAUAGAUGGUCGUCCAUUAUCUUCUAGAGAUAUUACUCACGAAACCCUUCCUAUACAAGUAAUAAUCAAUAGUCAUAAUAGUUUUGUAGUAUUUAUAAUCAUUAGAUCUCCCUCUAAUCUAGUCAUUUUAGGUUUAUCGUGGUUAGAAAAAUACAACCCUCAAAUAGAUUAGAUUUCCCGAACUCUUACUUUCUCUAAAAGUAUAACUAACAGUGUAGUUAAGCAAGUAGAGAGUCAUAAGACCAGUUCAAUUAAAUCCGUAUUUAUAGGUGUAAAAGCUUUCUUGCAUGCUGCUAUGAAAGAAUCACCAUACAUUAUUAAUGCCACACCCGUUUCUACUGGUGAAAAGACUUCAAGUGGCAUUCCAAGCCAAUAUCAAGAAUUUCAAGAUGUAUUUGAAAAAAAGAAUGCGGAUACACUCCCAAAACAUCGUCCCUAUGAUUGUUCAAUUGACCUCCAAGAAGGAGCACAACCGCCAUUCGGACCAAUCUAUAGUUUAUCACAAAAUGAGUUGGCUGAACUCAAGGAGUAUAUUGAAGAAAAUCUAGCCAAGAAUUUCAUACGCCAUUCUAAAUCUCCUGCAGGAGCUCCAAUUCUAUUUGUGAAGAAAAAAGAUGGAUCAUUGUAGAUGUGUGUUGAUUAUCGAGGACUCAACAAGAUUACCAUCAAAAACAGAUAUCCACUACCUUUAAUAUUUGGACUUCUUGAUCAGCUGAAUCAAGCUAAGAUCUAUACAAAAAUAGAUCUUCGGGGAGCAUACAAUCUAGUACGCAUCAAAGAAGGAGAUGAAUGGAAGACUGCGUUUCAAACUAGGUAUGAACAUUUUGAAUACAAUGUCAUGCCUUUUGGACUCACAAAUACACCAGCAGCUUUUCAACAUCUAAUGAAUGAUAUUUUUUGAGAGUUUUUGGACGAUUUUGUGGUAUGUUAUCUAGACGACAUCUUGAUCUAUUCUAAGAAUCCAAAAGAACAUGAUCUUCAUGUUUGUCAUGUGUUACAAAAAUUAAAAGAUGGAGGACUCUAUGCCAAGAUAGAAAAGUGUGUAUUCCACACUACUCAAGUCGAUUUCUUAGGUUACAUCAUUUCAAAUGAUGGACUUAUGAUGGAUCCUAAAAAAGUUCAAACUAUUAUAGAUUGGAAGAUCCCAAAAACGGUAAGAGAUAUCCAAUGUUUUUUAAGAUUUGCCAACUACUAUUGGAUCUUCAUCAAAGACUUCUCUCGAGUUGCAGCUCCACUUACACGUUUGACUUAUAAAGACAAAUUCCAAUGGAAUCAAGAAGCGGAAGUUGCUUUUGAAUCUUUGAAGAUAGCGUUUGUUUCUGCACCAAUCCUUUAUCGUGUUGAUUUUUCCAAAGUAUUCUUUAUGAAAACAGAUGCAUCGGACUUUGCUCUGGGUGGGAUUUUAUCACAAAUGGGAAUAGAUGAAAAACUUCAUUUAGUAGCCUUUCAUUCAAGAAAAUUCUCAACAGCAGAAAUCAAUUAUGAGAUCCACGACAAAGAACUUCUUGCAAUUAUGGAUUCUUUUCAAGAAUGGCAUCAUUAUCUACAAGGUGCUCAAAUCCAGUCACCGUAUAUACGGAUCACAAGAACCUCAAAUAUUUUAUGUUAGCAUGCGUAUUAAAUGGUCGCCAAGCUUGUUAGAGCAUGUCUUUAUGAAGAUUUGAGUUCAUCAUCACUUAUCAGCGAGAAAAACAACAAGGUUUAUCUGAUGCCUUGUCUAGACGUUCUUAUCUUGCACCAAAAGAAAGAGAUGCAGCUUUUGAGCAACAAAGAAUAGUUCUCUUGAAGCCAAAACAAUUUCAUCUUCAAGGAAUAAAAUCAACAUUGACUGUUGAUUUAACUUUUUUUAAACAAGUCCAAUUAAGUAUGUCUUCAGACCCUCCCGUUCAUGAUAUCAAGAAUAAUUCUUCUAAAUCUCAUGAUCCAUCUAAAUUUGAAUUUAAGAACAACCUACUCUAUUUCGAAGGACGCCUAUAUGUUCCAGAAGGAGAAGUACGUUUACGUGUUCUUCAAGCUUGUCACGACUUCCCAGCAGCAGGACAUUUCGGAUAUAGUAAGACUUUGGAGCUGAUAUCUAGGGAUUUUUGGUAGCCUCAAAUGUAGAAGGCAGUUAAAGAUUUUGUACAAUCAUGUGAUGUUUGUUCAAGAUCGAAAAUUCCUCAUCAUCGACCUUUUGGACUUUUGCAGCCAUUACCUAUUCCAGAACAACCAUGGUCUUCUGUUUCUAUGGACUUCAUCACGGAUCUUCCAAUCUCAAGUUCUUAUGACUCUAUAUUCGUGAUAGUAGAUCGUUUUACCAAGAUGGCACAUUUUGUACCAUGUACAAAAUCUAUCACAAGUGAAGAAAGAGCUAAGCUCUUUCUUGACAAUAUCUAUCUCUAUCAUGGAUUACUCAAGGAUAUUAUAUCAGAUAGGGGAACACAAUUUAUAUCAAGAUUUUGGCAGACUCUUUUCAAGAUUCUUAAAGUGGAUAUAAAACUAUCUUCGGCAUUCCACCCUCAAAUUGAUGGAAAAACAGAGCGUGUUAAUCAAGUUUUGGAACAAUAUUUAAGAUGUACCAUUAAUUACCAACAAGAUGAUUGGACAACUCUUUUGCCAUUGGCAGAGUUUGCUUACAAUAACACGGUACACUCUUCUACAAAACAAACACCUUUCUUUGCUAAUUAUGGUUAUCAUCUAUGACUUGAUACUUUUGACUUUUCAAAAGUUGAUAAUCUUGCUGCGAAAGAUUUGGCAAUUCAUUUAUUAGAGCUACAUGCAACGAUCAAGGCGCAGUUAAAAGAGGCUCAAGAACAACAAAAGGCCAAUGCGGAUGUCUAUCGAAAGGAACAACCAUCAUUCAUCUUGGGUGAUAAGGUAUGGCUACUUCGUCGUAAUAUCAAGACCACUCGUUCUUGUGACAAGUUGGACUAUCGAAGGCUGGGACCAUUUUCUAUUUUUGUACAAAUCAAUCCAAUAGCAUAUCGUUUAGAUCUACCAGAGUCAAUGAAAAUCCAUCCAGUAUUCCACGUGUCUCUUCUUGAACCAUACAGGACACUGGACAUACCAAGAAGAUGACAAGUUCCACCUCCUCCUAUAGAAGUGGACAAUAAUAAAGAGUUUGAAGUAGAAGAAGUCUUAGAUUCAAGGCGGCGCCGAAAUAAAUUAGAAUAUCUUAUCCAUUGGCACGGAUAUGAUAUUAGUGAAUGCACAUGAGAGCCAAUAAAAAAUCUUGUAAAUGCAGCAAAGGCGGUGGAGGCUUUUCAUCGACGACAUCCAUCAAAAUCAAGAUGAAAACCUUCUUUAUAAAAGAAACAACAUCUAGACAAGAUAACAUUCUACUUUCAAUUCUUGUUCGUAGCUUCGUUGUAGUAGUGGCGCUCAGGAGAUGGAGAACCAACAACCAGUGGAUUCAACUCAAGAGCCUUCAUUUGCUGUCCUGUCGGAUGAGACAUUACGAUUGUCACAACCUUCAAGACGACGCAAUCGAGAUGAAGAUCUUUAAGAACGACAUGUUCUUCCUCGAAUAGAUGGUGAGAUAUAAUGCAUUUGGUAUCACGAUUUGGGAAGGGACUCCCGAUGUUUGGUAAUUGUGCUAGAGGUAGGAACAACUCCUGAUGGUGUUCCAAAUAUUCUAUUCGAAGGAAGUUACGAAGGCCUCAACAAUGAUCAAAUAAGUAGGUGGUCUUCCCGCCCUGGUAUGGGAUACUACCAAUGGUUGAGAGGCCCUAUCAAUCAUCUUCGAAGAGAACAGAGAUCAGAGUAUGUGGCGAAUACAAUUCAUCGCAUCAUAGAUUUCUUCAACAUAUGAUGACCGCUCCUUGUAGAACUCGUCCCUAGAAGGGGGGUAAUGUCACGGCCAUAAUGAUGUAAGCUAAUAAUUACAUAUAGAAAUAGGUAGAAGUAAGUAAAAAUAGAUAAAAGUAAGUUAAUUCUAUAAUAUUUAAUAUGGAAGCUUCUUAGAAACUUCCUAGAUGCUGCUUUGACUUCAUAGGUGUCUUUAAUUGAUUUUUUGGAUUAGAAACGUGGUCAAUAAGUUGGCCAUGUGCCACACAUGUUGUUAGCUUGAAGAUCAAGCUAACUAUGUGGCCCACACGUAGAAAAACUUACCUUGUAAGUCAAGGCAUGUAUCCUACAAAGUCAACACAUAUUGGAGGUCCUAUAGAAUGUCGCCACGUAGCCCCUAGUUAGAGAGUAUAUAUAGAGACAAGAGUGAAGGCUUCUUCACUCUUGUCAACUCCUUUCUUGCUUCUAGUCUAGUUUCAAGGGUCUCUAGUUUUCUUGUCUUUUGGCAAUAGCCAUUCCAGUUCCUCUUUCAAUAUAUAUACUUGUUUAUAUAUAUUUUUUUACCUCUCUUUGAGUGAAGGCUCACUUGUCUGAAUUGUUUUUUCAUUGAGUUCUUGUCCUUGACAGGUAGUCAUAGUCAUGACCAUUUCUAGUCAUAUAGAAAGAAUAAAUGUUCUACUAUUAAUUAUAAUAGAAAAUAAAAAUUAGAGAUAUAUUCUUACUAUAAAUAUAGAAUGAUUGGACAUUUAAUACAUAAGUAUCUUAUUUUAGAAUAUUUUAUUAAAAUAUUCUAAAAAAAAUAAGAAACUACAAGCUGAGGCUCGUGAAUUUCAUAUCAUAGAUGUAUCUAUAGAUUCAAUUGGUAUUGAUGAUUUAGAGGCUUAUAUGAAUGACAAAACCUCUAAUGAUGAAUCAAAUGGUGCGCUCAUUGAUUCUGCAAUAACACAUACUAUCCUCCAAGAUAAUAUCUUGAUAGACAAUUUUUUAUUGAAAAAUCUUCAACUUGGCAAACUAAAAAUAUGAUGACCUUGGCUAAAGCAAAUGCGUUUUUUUUCCAAGAGGACAUAGCGAUGGUAAAAUUACCUGCGAGUUCUAUCAUAAAAUAUAAACAUGCGAUGUUUGCACUCUUAGUACCUUAGAGUUUGAUCAGCUACCAAGAUAUGUGUAUUAAUAGUUAUCACCUCUCGAUCGCCAUUUUAAAUAAAAAAAGAUAUUUUGGUUCUUGCGAAGAACCAUGAAGUUGUUGAAAAAGCUUUUCCUACAGAAAAUGGUUUAUAUCAAAUUACGAUUCGAUCUUCUGUUAUAUUUAAUUUUGCAUCAUCUAUCAUAGAGAGUCAUGCUUCUCUCUAGCAUGGACAAUUGAAACAUCCAGGAUCUACAUUAUUUAGAAAGAUCAUUCCAUGUAUAAAUAGAUAUAAUUUAAAGCCUAUGGAUAUAGACUCUAUAAAAUUAUGUCGUGCAUGCGUAUAAGGCAAGAUGAUUAUUCGCCCUUCAAUUUGAAAACUCCUACAAGAAUUACUACCAAUGCUUGAAAGAUUGCAUCGUGAUAUUUGUAAUCCUAUUAAUCCAAUAUCAGGACCAUUUCAUUAUUUUUUAGUCAUUGUUGAUGCAUCAAGUAAACAAUCACAUGUUUCAUUAUUAUCAAUCUAAAACAUAGUGUUUGCCAAUAUUAUAUCUAUGAUUAUUCAUUUUCGAGCAUAUUUUCCUGAUUAUCCUAUAAAAACAUUACAUAUGAAUAAUGCGAAAGAAUUUGCAUCAAAGUCUUUUGAAGACUAUUGUACUGCAAUAGGAAUUGAGUUGACAUAUUGUGUUCCAUAUGAACAUGCUCAAAUUAGACUUGCGGAGUCAUUAUAAAGCAUAUACAACUCAUUACUAGGCCACUCUUCCUUCACACAAAUUUACCAACAUCUAUGUGGAGUCAUGCAGUUUUACAUGUUGCAACAUCAAUAUGCCUCUGUCCUUCUUUUUUUAAAAUUGUUUCACCACAUGAGCUCAUUUUAGGUCGUGUUCCAAAUAUAUCUAACUUACAAGUAUUUGGUUGCCAUACUUGGAUUCUAGUACAAGAACUUCAAUAGCAUACUCUUGAAGUUCAUCGACAAGAAGGUAUAUAUGUUGGUUUUGAUUCAUCAAGCAUUAUUCAUAUUCUUGAUUUAUCAAUUGGCACAUUAUUACAUGCAUGUUUGUAAAAUUAUUAUUUUGAAGAGAAUAUAUUCUCAUUUCUUCAAAGAAGAAUAUCCAAUCAACAAAGAAAUAAAGUACUUGCAUUUGAAGCACCCAAAAUAUUUAGAAUGAAUCCUGAUUCUAGGACAUCUUUGGCUAAAAUUAAAGUUGUUAAGAUUUUGCAUCUAAAAUGGAUCGUAGAUGAAACACCUGAUGGCUUCAAUAAUGGAGUUAGAAUUACAAGAGUUCUUAUUAAUGAUGCUUAGAAUACACCUGGUCUUAUUGCAGUGCCACUAACUACAAUACCUCAAGUUAUAACAACAACAACUAAAAGAACUUGUGAAUCAAAUAAGCAACCAUGUAAGAAGAAAGCUAUAAUAUUGACUAAUUUUGAUAUUAUUUCUCAAGAAAUUCUCACUCAUCUUGCAGAACCACCAAUUCAUGAUGAUAUAUCCAUGCAUAAUGUAUACCUUCAAUUCUUGUGAAAAAUAAUCUUGUAAUUGGAAGGAAUAAGAACAAGUUGAUUAAAGAAUUAUCUAUUCUGUAUUGUGCUAUAAACGAUAUUUGGGACAAACUAUCUAUUAUGGUAGAUGAAUCAUUUGCAUGUAUGAUUAUAGAAGCUCUUUCUUGCGAGAAAGACGAUCUUAAACCUCAAACCAUCGAGGAAGCAAUGCAUCGCUUUGAUUGAUCAAAAUAAAAAAUUGCUAUUGAGGAGGAGUAUACUUCUUUGCGUAAGAUGAAAGUCUUUGAUUCCAUUGUAGACACUCUUACAUCUCACUCUGUGUGAUAUAAGAUGGUAUUAAUAUGCAAGCAAGAUGCUUAGGGUCAAAUAAUCCGCUAAAAAGCCCGUCUUGUUGCUCAAGGAUUUACUCAACGAUUUGGUAUUGAUUAUAAAUCCACAUAUUUUCUAGUCAUGGAUUCAAUUACAUUUUGAUAUAUUAUUCGAAUGGGAGCUCAUGCCACCCUUGAGAUGCAUUUAAUGGAUGUGGUAACUGCAUAUGUAUAUGGUUCUCUUGAUGCAAGUAUUUAUAUGAAAGUUCCACUUGGCUUAGAAAUAGAAAUUCUAAAUGAACCUGCUCUAGGACAAUAUCAUGGUAUUAAAUUAUGUAAGGCCUUGUAUGGUUUAAAACAAUCCAAAUGCAUGUGGUAUCAAUGUCUUUGAGAUUAUUUAAUUUCACAUAAGUUUGUAAGUGAUCCACUAAUCCCUUAUUUAUUUAUCAAACAAGAUAAAAGUGGUUUUGUGAUCAUCGCUAUAUAUAUUGAUGAUUUUAACCUAAUGGGUAUUAAAUCUGCAUGUGUUGCAACUACUAAUCUACUUAUAUGUGAAUUUGAGAUGAAAAUGCUAAGAAAAAUAACUUUCUACAUUGGUCUUCAGAUUAUGCAUCUCACACAUGGUAGCAUUUUUUUUCUACCAACUAAUAUAUAUUAGCCAAAUCUUAUAGAGAUUCAAUAUGAUUAAUGCUUAUCCAUUGCCUAUACUAAUGGUUGGACGUGGUCGUGAUAGUCAUGAUCCAUAUCGUCCAUGUAAGGAGGAGGAGGAGGAAAUAUUGAAAGAUCAAUAUUCAUACCUUACAGCAGUUUGAGCACUUUUAUAUUUGGCUACAUCUACAAGAUCAAAUAUUGCAUUUGCAGUUAGUAUUCUUGUAAGACAUAGUACACAUCUAAUAUUUUGACAUUAGAAUGGCAUCAAACAUUUAUUACGUUAUUUAAAAGAUAUUGAAGACUUGGGAUUAUACUACACAUAAUCUGCAAAUCCAAAAUUGGUUGGAUAUUGUAAUGUGGCAUAUAAAUCUGAUACUACAACAACUAAAUUUCAAACAGGAUAUGUAUUUUUAAGACAUGGAGUUGUAAUGUCAUGGAAAUCAGUGAAACAAAUAAUAACUACAAGUUCAUCCAACCAUACAGAAAUUAUUAUCUUACAUGAAGCAUCUCAAGAAUGUAUUUGAUUGCGAUCAAUUGAUAAAUUCAUUCAAACAACCUGUGGAUUUUCAUAUGAUGAUUCUCCAACUAUUUUGCAUGAAGACAAUAGUGCUUGUAUUGCACAGAUGUAAGUUGGUUUAUUAAAGGCGACAUGACAAAGCAUAUUGAUCCAAAGUAUUUUAGUUAAUAUCCAUGACUUGAUUACUGAUCAAGCACUUAUAAUUAAAAAAAUUGAAUCUGCAAAUAACCUUGUUGAUCCCUUCACCAAAGCUCUUCCAUUAUACAACCAUCAUUGACUUAUUUAUGGCAUUGAUAUGCGAUGACUUGCUUUUUUUGGAUAAGAAAGUUAAUGAACUCUUUAAAUAAUUAAGAAAAAUGAUGUAUUCUUUUUCCUUCAUCUAUGGUUUUGCCCUUUAAUACAAUAAGAUUUUCCUAGAUAAGGGUUUAAUGAGGCAACAAUUGUUGAACUUGUCAAAUUACAAAAAAGUAUAGAUCAUAAUUCUAUACAAAUUUUAUAUUAUGUAAAUAUUGUGAUGAACGAGGAGUGUUGGGAGCAUUAAAUGUAGCCAACACUCUCAAUGAUAUUUACUGUAGUCAAUACUAUAGCUACAUUAUUUGAAAUGUAGUGGAGAGGAACUGUUUAUCUUCUCCCCUUUCCCUCUUGUAUACAAGACACAUCUAGAUCAAUAGACUUUUGCAUGAAACUCUCUUUUGGAAUUCUCUUGUAUGUGUGUAUGUUACUUACUACUAUUCUUUUCUUUGUAAACAACCGCAACAAAUUCAGUAGAUGCCAACCAGAUAUGAUUACAUAAGCAUAAACCUUCAAUUAAACCUACUACAUAACUCGUAACAGCCAUCAACUAGAACACACAUGCAACCAAUAUGCUGACAGACCUGCAUGUUGUAUAUUAUAGUGUGCAUCACUCCCGUGAGCAACAUCAAGACAUUAGAAAUAACUACUACUUAAACGAUCGGUAUGUAUUUAGUGUAAACAGCAAAAGUUGUAAGAAAACAUUACUUUCAAACUGAAAUGGAUGCUUUCAUGAGUUGCAGGUAGGAUAUUUGACACGAUGAACCCUAGUUCUUUCUGACAACUAGCUUAGUAGAUUUUUUGGUAAAAACUAUCAAGCAAGAUAUGAAGCUCAUGCAAUAACUGCAUUACUUCACAUUGUUGACAUUCAUCAUGAACGAUACAUGAUCCGAUCAUGUCGAAGAUUCAACACGCCCAUGCCUCAGUUGGACUAUGCAGGUCAAAAAUCCAGAAGAGAUGCUCUGUAAGCUUGAUUCGCAAUGCUCCCAAUUGCAGCUCACGAAAAAAUAUAAACAUACCGCCUUGAAUUGUAAGAAAUAAAGAGGUACGUUCGCGGAAAGGGGAAAAGAUAGCGUCAUCGUAACCAACCAGGAUCGGUCAACGCAGUAAUUAAAAAGUCAGCAUAAUCCCUCAGUUCCCUCCAUUCACAUAACUUUUUGAACAUCUCUAACAUGGAUAAAUGCGAGACAAAUCCCAUAAAUAGAUAAGGAUUCAUUCAAGAACGAGAUUUGAGACUAAAAACAGAAUUUCCCACGUUGCAUUCAAAACAAUAAAAAAGAUGCUCCAACAAGCGAUCGAUGCACCAAGCACAGAUUUCUAAGCCUUAACUGCGAACUUCCUCAUGGGGAAGUAAGCCUCCUUCUUCUCCUGCCUCUCGGUCUUCAUGGAAGCCUGCGUAUUCACGGGCAGAAUAUUAGCAGAUCAUUCGCUUUUAAAACCAUGAAACAAUUGCUCGAAGUAGGGUGAAGUAAACCCUGUGUAUUUGCACCAAGAAUAAAAACCUUCAGCAUUUUGAAGUCCCAAAAAUUUGAUAGGCCAAAUCUCGAAAACUCACCUG